Molecule: long non-coding RNA, 1143 nt
Filed under: Phoenix dactylifera (date palm)
Lineage: Eukaryota; Viridiplantae; Streptophyta; Magnoliopsida; Arecales; Arecaceae
Description: long non-coding RNA (PDAC_LNC004196)
Source: RNAcentral
CAUCUAAGGGAUGAUGUUGCAGCGGUAUUAAGAACCUCCGCUGCAAAUAGGACUCCCACUAACUUUGAUGAUACUUUUCUAUUUUUAAAUAUUCGGAUAUUUUUAUCUGGCCAAUAAUAGGUCAUAGCGUUGUUCAAAGGCGUGUUUUUAGCGUCUGUUUUUGGGCAUCGGGAAGGCUGCCCCAAUUAGGAUCCCGUCUUCGCAUCAAGGAAAAGUUCUGCAACAAUUUAUCGCAAUUCACGAUGACGUCGGUGCCACGACGCCAUUCCCCGCCGCGCCAACCUUAUUCAAAGGAAAGAAAACCCCUUUAUUUUUUUUCCUUUCCUUUUGUCCGGCGUAGAACUAAAGCAAAGUGGGCCACAAGCUCGCCGAAAUAUCAUCGCACGUCCUGCCAAAAAGAAAUAAAAAGAAAUUAUCGCAGAAAGUAAACAUUGUGUCAAAAAGGUAAACUAAAAAAUCAAAAGAAAAAAAUGGAGGAGUAGUGGGGGAGCAGCACGGGAAGCGGCUUUUCAUGCUUGUUCUCACGUCUCUGUCUCUCUCUUUCUUUCCCUCUCGCCGUUCUCAAAUAAGAUAUUAAUAUCUCGCCGGUGGUCAUCACGACGUGGAACCGAGGGGCGCGCCCACCUCGAAGGCGUGAUCCUCCCCACCAUCUUCGGCGUUUCCACGCGACUUGCCGGCAGGCACGUGGCCUCCCGUCCGCCCCCACGGCGACCAUUACACGCGUCGCCAUGGGCGGCGACGUCGCGAUGGAGGAGAUGCCGCCGUCCAAGGGGGAUGGAUGAACGAGCGGACACCGUCGUCACACGCGUCUCCGUGGGCGGCGACGUCGCGACGGAGGCGAGGGCGCCGUCCACGGGAGAUCGAUGGAUCCAUGGGAGGUGGGAAUUAAACACGAGAUCCAGGUUAAGGUUCAAAUUUAAGACGAUGGGCCCUGCCGACUUGGCUCAGCCGACCAUCAGCCAGCUGGCUAUGUCGGCCUGAUCCUGGUUAAGCUAAUGCUGUUCUCGUUGGGAGCACCGGACAGCCGUUUUGCCACGGUUUGGAGACGUGUACGGCUGAUGAAAGCCCUGCGAUAAGGAUGAUAGAAGAUAAUGGCACGGUGAUAUGGGAUCCAACUUGAUUACAAGAAAGCAUCGAGCAGGA